GGCCAGUUAGCUUAGCUGGUUAGAGUGGGGUGCUAAUAACGCCGAGGUUGUGGGUUCCGUCCCCGUACGGGCCA
RNAcentral lists this transfer RNA (74 nucleotides) under Loxodonta africana (African savanna elephant). Lineage: Eukaryota; Metazoa; Chordata; Mammalia; Proboscidea; Elephantidae. The record is from Rfam by way of RNAcentral.